GAUGAACGCUAGCGGCAGGCCUAAUACAUGCAAGUCGAACGGUAAAUGACCCUUCGGGGUCAUGAGAGUGGCGCACGGGUGCGUAACGCGUAUGCAACCUACCCAAUGCUGGCGGAUAGCCCGGAGAAAUUCGGAUUAACCCGUCAUGAGGAGCCGGAGGGGCAUCCUUCCGGUUUCAAAUAUUCAUAGGCGUUGGAUGGGCAUGCGUGCUAUUAGAUAGUUGGCGGGGUAACGGCCCACCAAGGCAACGAUCGUUAGGGGUUCUGAGAGGAAGGUCCCCCACACUGGAACUGAGACACGGUCCAGACUCCUACGGGAGGCAGCAGUGAGGAAUAUUGGUCAAUGGGCGAGAGCCUGAACCAGCCAAGUAGCGUGAAGGAUGACUGCCCUACGGGUUGUAAACUUCUUUUGUUUGGGAAUAAAAGACGCUACGUGUAGCGUUGUGCAUGUACCUUACGAAUAAGCAUCGGCUAAUUCCGUG
RNAcentral lists this ribosomal RNA (481 nucleotides) under uncultured bacterium. RNAcentral's name for it is "bacterial SSU rRNA". It matches the Rfam family "Bacterial small subunit ribosomal RNA", at positions 28 to 507 of the family's 1533-position model. The record is from RNAcentral.